UACGUAGGGUGCAAGCGUUAAUCGGAAUUACUGGGCGUAAAGCGUGCGCAGGCGGCUAUGCAAGACAGAUGUGAAAUCCCCGGGCUCAACCUGGGAACUGCAUUUGUGACUGCAUGGCUAGAGUACGGUAGAGGGGGAUGGAAUUCCGCGUGUAGCAGUGAAAUGCGUAGAUAUGCGGAGGAACACCGAUGGCGAAGGCAAUCCCCUGGACCUGUACUGACGCUCAUGCACGAAAGCGUGGGGAUCAAACAGG
RNAcentral lists this ribosomal RNA (253 nucleotides) under uncultured bacterium. RNAcentral's name for it is "partial 16S ribosomal RNA". It matches the Rfam family "Bacterial small subunit ribosomal RNA", at positions 524 to 776 of the family's 1533-position model. The record is from RNAcentral.